AUGAGACCACUCCAAGAAGUACAGGAUAUCAGACCAGUAAGACCAUUCGGAAUGAAGAGGAUUUUACCAUACAUUAUGAUAAUGGAAACUACAACGGUUGAAGACCGAAGACAAGUAGAAUUUGAAGGCUCUAAAGAAUUUCCAGAUUUGUGUGACCUAGGAAGGCAACCCUUAUGGAACUUGGCAGACUAUGGAAGUUGUCAAUGCCCGAGAUCAAGGUGUGUUGGAGAAAGACCGGAGCAUGUAGAGUUAAGAACUCAAGGAUUUGUCAAGGAAACCCCUAAGGCAGGAGAUAUCAACUAUGGAGAGAUAGCUCAUGGAAAUGACAAGAGAACAACCACAGCUAUCCAUGAGGUUAUCGCCCGCUUAUGCUAUUGUCACCGUGUUGAGUUAAGCAUGCAUAUGCAUGGAAGGAUUAAAUGGUAG
RNAcentral lists this ribosomal RNA (426 nucleotides) under Triticum aestivum (bread wheat). RNAcentral's name for it is "partial small subunit ribosomal RNA". Lineage: Eukaryota; Viridiplantae; Streptophyta; Magnoliopsida; Poales; Poaceae. The record is from RNAcentral.